This 429-nucleotide ribosomal RNA is filed under the name uncultured bacterium. RNAcentral's name for it is "bacterial SSU rRNA". It matches the Rfam family "Bacterial small subunit ribosomal RNA", at positions 355 to 776 of the family's 1533-position model. The record is from RNAcentral.
UUAGGAAUCUUGCGCAAUGGGCGAAAGCCUGACGCAGCGACGCCGCGUGUGCGAAGAAGGCCUUCGGGUUGUAAAGCACUGUCACCUGGGACGAAAUAGCGGAAACUAAUAAGUUCCGUUUUUGACGGUACCAGGGAAGGAAGCACCGGCUAACUCCGUGCCAGCAGCCGCGGUAAUACGGAGGGUGCAAGCGUUGUUCGGAUUUAUUGGGCGUAAAGAGCAUGUAGGCGGUAUUGUAAGUCUGAUGUGAAAUCCUUGGGCUCAACCUGAGAACUGCAUCAGAUACUGCUUUACUAGAGUAUCGGAGAGGGCGCUGGAAUUCCUGGUGUAGAGGUGAAAUUCGUAGAUAUCAGGAAGAACACCGGUGGCGAAGGCGGGCGCCUGGACGAUUACUGACGCUGAGAUGCGAAAGCGUGGGGAGCAAACAGG